UUUGGGGGUUAGCAAGCCUGGGUCCAAUGCCACCUCAGGCACCCACUAUCUGAGGGCAAAGGCUCCUGGCUUUUCUGGCCUCGGUUUCCUGAGCAAUAGGGAGAGUUGUAAUCACUACCUCCUUGGCCUUUAGGGUGAGUAGAGCUGACACAUACAGAGCUCCAGCAAGGUACCCAGGCCCUAGGAAGCACUCAGCAAACACAAUCAUCACCCUGGGAAGAUGGCGAGAAGAGAGUGGGCAAUUUGUGCACCAAAAGAAUAGCCAGAUCUGUGGGGGCAUUUCUCCCUGACAUAUUGAUACCAAGCCCAGCCUUGAUUUUCCAGGGGAUGCCCCACUCCUUAUUGUAAGGUCUCUGUUCUGACCUCUGGUAUCCCCUCAGGGACCCUUCAGGCCAUGAGUUCAAAUGCCUGGGAAGCCCACCUCACAGGAGCCUCAAGUCCCAUCCGUCUUGUUCCCAAGUCUGGCAGGAUCCUGACAGCCCCAUGCAUGUGCCUGUCCUCGGACCCCUGCAGAGGGCUGGGUGCAGACCUUGGCAGGAGUAGGCUGGCAGGCAGUCUCUUUCCUUCCCAGGCAGACGUGUGUGUAGCAAGUAUGUUUAUCAGGCAACGCCUUGUAGCCAGCGGUGGCGGCUUAACAGUGGCAGAAACGCCCGCAUUGCCUCACCAGCUGCUGGGUACUAAGAUGCGCCCUUGGCCUCAGCUGGCAGAUAAGCACCUGCAUUGGAGAGGGAACCCUUGAUCAUGGGCUGAUAAGUGCAGGGAAGAAACAACAACAACAACAAGAAAAAGCUGAGCAACCCGCCGUGGAAGGCUUUUUCAUGUACGCAUGGGCGUGUUUCUUGUCUUCGCCAACACACAGGUGAUGCAAAAGCUCUGAUUCUAAUUUAAUUUGGUGGUCACACAAUCAUGGAAUGAGAGCAUGUCAGAGCUGGAAGGGACUCUGGGGAUUGUCUGGUUGAACUCUUUAAUCUUCCAGGUGAGGACAGUGAGGGCCACAGAGCUGUACCGACUUGUUCAGGAUCAUCCAGCAAAGUUUUGGUGGAGCUGGAACUAAACCCGAGGGUCUCGAGACCCUCGGGCCUGCGAUCUUUCCAUCAUAUGGGAUUGCUUCACAGGCUGCCACCUGAUCGCUUAGGUGCAGACCGCAGGUUGCCCUUUGGUGCCUUAACAGUCCUCUUUAAUAUCACUAAUUGGCCCUGUCUGCCUGCAGAGUCAGAUAGAUGCCCCCUGUCCCUGCUUCUCCCCCACCACAUGCCAGCUAUUGGGGUUGACCAGUUAGCUCAAGGCCACAGGGUCUGAUGCUACUGUUUCAAACACUGUUAUUUCAUAUUUUGAAAAAGCAAGGUUCAGAUAAGAGAGGCAACUUGCCUAGGUGAUACAGCUAGAGAAAGUGAAAGACCUGGGUCUAAAAUUUUCAGGUUCCUCAUUUCAGUUCUUUCCAUACAUAGUGUAUGAAACCCAGGUGUGGGUGAAGGUGGGCAGAAGGGCACCCGGCCUCUGCAACUUUCCCCUGUGACCUGGUUUUGGGGAAGAGUUGCACAUGUUUCCUCAAGGACAGAAAUGGAGUCUGGCAAGACUUUGUAUUGAAAAUCUUAUUGUUCUCAGUAGGGGCCUCCUAAGCAAUGGGUAUAGAUAAAUGAAUGAAUCCUUUUUGUUUGUUUGUUUUUUUGAGAUGGAGUCUUACUCCAUUGCCCAGGCUGGGGUGUGAUGAUCCGAUCUCAGCUCACUGCAACCUCCAUCUCCUGGGUUCAAGCAAUUCUCCUGUCUCAGCUUCCCCAGUAGCUGGGACCACAGGCAUGUGCCACCAUGCCUAGCUAAGUUUUAUAUUUUUUUUAGUAGAGAGGGGUUUUCACC
This 1854-nucleotide long non-coding RNA is filed under the name Pan troglodytes (chimpanzee). RNAcentral describes it as "lincRNA". The record is from RNAcentral. Lineage: Eukaryota; Metazoa; Chordata; Mammalia; Primates; Hominidae.